CUGGGGUACUCGAGUGGCGAACGGGUGAGUAACACGUGGGUGAUCUGCCCUGCACUUCGGGAUAAGCUUGGGAAACUGGGUCUAAUACCGGAUAGGACCAUCGUUUAGUGUCGGUGGUGGAAAGUUUUUUCGGUGUGGGAUGAGCUCGCGGCCUAUCAGCUUGUUGGUGGGGUAAUGGCCUACCAAGGCGUCGACGGGUAGCCGGCCUGAGAGGGUGUACGGCCACAUUGGGACUGAGAUACGGCCCAG
This 249-nucleotide ribosomal RNA is filed under the name uncultured Actinomycetales bacterium. RNAcentral's name for it is "partial 16S ribosomal RNA". It matches the Rfam family "Bacterial small subunit ribosomal RNA", at positions 82 to 334 of the family's 1533-position model. Lineage: Bacteria; Bacillati; Actinomycetota; Actinomycetes; Actinomycetales. The record is from RNAcentral.